GCCGCCGCCCACCGUCCUGCCCCCAGCAGCUGCUCCAGAUGACUGCGAGGUUCCUUACGCGGUCAGAUGAGGCGCUCCGAGGAGUUUUGCAAUGUGUGCUGUUCUGUGACCUGGAGACUCCUUCCUAAGCGGCUCCCACCGACCUCAGGCCUGGGCGGCCCUUUCCAAUCCCUGAUGGAGAGGUUUCCACGGGGGGACAACCCGUGGGGCUCUGGGAUGAUCUGGCCCUGCUGGACCGCCCACGCCUCCUGUGUCUGCUGCCAACCCUUGACGGGGAGAAGCUGCCGGCGGUGACUCCCACAGGAUGCCUGGCUACCUGCCUGUGGUCAGCAAGGACAGCAGUGUGAAGCCUCCAAACCCAAGUGCUGCAGGAUCAGAAACCUGAGUGACCUGCCACCACCACCGCGUGCUCUGUGUCCGAUUAUCACGCACCACCCAGGGUGCCCGAUCCAGUGAUCAGAUCAGGGCUGGAGCAGGGCCUGGCACUCUGGCUACCUGGCACACAGGGCUCCCGGGCUGUCGGAAAGCUGUGGGCCGCCCCCUGGAAGACACCUGGGGCGCCACCACUCACUGCUGUAUCUUACAGCGGACGGAGGGGCCCAGGCCCGCGGAGCCCUCCCAGGUUCCAUGACUGGCGGGAGGCUGGACUGAACCUGCUGCCAGCUCCCCAGCCUCCGUGGCACCUGGGUGUGACGGGGGCCUUGACAGCCCAUGCCAACAAACGUGCACCCGGCUGGUAGCCGACCCUGGGUCCCAUCCUCCCUGAUACGUCCUGCAUGAAGGUCAAGGCGGUGAAGUUCAAAAGAGGGUUAAAACAAUGUCUGGAAAGUCCUCUAAUGGUCCCUGAGGGACGGGCGGGCUGGGCUGGGCUGUCUGACAAUCGCCCGAAGAUCCUCAGACUCCCUUAUCAGCACUUGAGGCUCCUGUAAACCGGUGCUGGCUAAUAGCAGGACGACGUGGUGACACUGUGCAGGCUCCCGCGGGCUUCAGCCUGGCGCUCUGAACCUGCCACGAAGAGUGGCACGGACUACCAGCAUUAAGACGGGGGCCGGUGACAAGGACGAGUCCCAUUCAACUGAGGGUCAGCGCUGCUUCUGCCUGAGGUGCCUUCUCCUUGUCUUGCUGGUGACAGAGCUGCCUCCUGGAGCUGUGGCUCAGAGUGUCCAGGUUCCAAAGCAAGGACAGCAGAAGGUGCCAACACUUAAAAGCAGGAUGUUGUAUUUAAAAAAAAUCUCUUCUCGAGGCACCCAGAGUCCUGGCUAAGGUGGGGCAUUCCGCAAGGCGACCACGGCUGAGGCAGGGGCCAGCUGUCCUGGUGGCUUGAGGCUGUGCAUGUGCCCACUUGCUUAUCAAACCCCGAGCCUGGCUAAUUUGAAGGGAGUCUAAUUUGAAGUCUCUACUUCAUUCUUCCUGAAAUGAAAGAACAGAAACUGAGGUGUCUCACAUGCUUCUGAAUUUGUCACCAAGGCCCCUGAUUCACGUCUGGGCCCUUAGUCUGUCCCGCUGGGAGACGACUGUCCCUUCAGGAGGUCACUGGCCCCCUGCAGGUGGCCUUCUUGCUGGAUGAGCCCCAGGGAGGAGAGGUGGAGAGUGUCCCCCAGGCUCAACUCUCUGCUCCGUCUCGUCCUGUGUGUCUCUACCCCCAGCCCCACAUGGGGGGCAAAGCGAAGGGGAAACAGGGAAGGGAGACCCCCUGAGGGUUCCUGGGCCUCAUUUGCUGGUUCGCUAAGUGAGAAGCAGGAGCCGAUGGCCUCUGAAGAGGUCCCUUUCUGCCUCGUGAGGAUCCAGUCCCCAGAGAGUCUACCCUAUCACCAGUGGCAUGGGAACAGGCCACCGUCACUGGUGAGACACGGAGGCCAGCGUGGAGUCUGAGCUGCGGCUGCUCGCUGGACGUCAGUCCUGCUCCCAAGCUCCCCACUGGUGACCUCCAGCAAGUUGGCCCUCCCUGGUUUCCGGCUUCACUGUCGUCUGGUGAGGACACAGAGCUACUGCUGUAAAAGCCGUCGUGGACACGAGGGCUUACCUGGUGUGGCGCAGAGCCCAGGAGGUCCAGCCUCCCUGCAGAGGCCCAGGGUGCAGCACUCAAAUAGGCCAGAGCAGGACACUACAGCCACGGCUCUGGGCCAGAUCAGCCUCA
Molecule: long non-coding RNA, 2137 nt
Filed under: Marmota monax (woodchuck)
Lineage: Eukaryota; Metazoa; Chordata; Mammalia; Rodentia; Sciuridae
Source: RNAcentral